RNAcentral lists this small nuclear RNA (154 nucleotides) under Castor canadensis (American beaver). RNAcentral describes it as "U1 spliceosomal RNA (ENSCCNG00000014896.1)". It matches the Rfam family "U1 spliceosomal RNA". From Rfam's summary of the family: U1 is a small nuclear RNA (snRNA) component of the spliceosome (involved in pre-mRNA splicing). Its 5' end forms complementary base pairs with the 5' splice junction, thus defining the 5' donor site of an intron. There are significant differences in sequence and secondary structure between metazoan and yeast U1 snRNAs, the latter being much longer (568 nucleotides as compared to 164 nucleotides in human). The record is from Rfam by way of RNAcentral. Lineage: Eukaryota; Metazoa; Chordata; Mammalia; Rodentia; Castoridae.
AUGCUUACUUGGCAGGAGCGCUACCAUGAUAUUGAUGGUGGUUUUCCCAGGGCGAGUCUUUUCCAUUGUACUCUGGAUGUGUUGAUCUCUGAGAAUUCCCCAAACGUGGGAAAUUCAACUGGAUAAUUUGGAGGACUGUGCUCAUGUUCUCCCA